This 443-nucleotide ribosomal RNA is filed under the name uncultured bacterium. Its description in RNAcentral is "partial 16S ribosomal RNA". It matches the Rfam family "Bacterial small subunit ribosomal RNA", at positions 338 to 795 of the family's 1533-position model. The record is from RNAcentral.
CCUACGGGUGGCAGCAGUGGGGAAUAUUGGGCAAUGGGCGCAAGCCUGACCCAGCAACGCCGCGUGAAGGAAGAAGGCUUUCGGGUCGUAAACUUCUUUUGUCAGGGACGAAGCAAGUGACGGUACCUGACGAAUAAGCCACGGCCAACUACGUGCCAGCAGCCGAGGUAAUACGUAGGCGGCAAGCGUUAUCCGGAUUUACUGGGGGUAAAGGGGGUGGAGGCGGGACUGCAAGACAGGAGUGAAAACCACGGGCCCAACCUGUGGCCUGCAUUUGAAACUGUAGGUCUUGAGUACUGGAGAGGCAGACGGAAUUCCUAGUGUAGCGGUGAAAUGCGUAGAUAUUAGGAGGAACACCAGUGGCGAAGGCGGUCUGCUGGACAGCAACUGACGCUGAGGCGCGAAGGCGUGGGGAGCAAACAGGAUUAGAUACCCGUGUAGUC